UGAGUACGAGAUGCUACGGCAUCGAAGCAGUCUAUGUCAUACUUCCAAGAAAAGCUUGCACUGUCAGAAACAGAUAAUGCCUGUACCAUAACCGACACAGGUGGGUAGGUAGAGUAUACUAAGGGGCGCGAGAUAACUCUCUCUAAGGAACUCGGCAAAAUGACUCCGUAACUUCGGGAGAAGGAGUGCCUUAUUUUUAAGGUUGCAAUAACAAGAUCCAAGCAACUGUUUACCAAAAACACAGGUCUCCGCUAAGUCGUAAGACGAUGUAUGGGGGCUGACGCCUGCCCAGUGCCAGAAGGUUAAAGAAGUCGGUUAGCAUUCGCGAAGCUGGUAACUGAAGCCCUGGUGAACGGCGGCCGUAACAAUAACGGUCCUAAGGUAGCGAAAUUCCUUGUCGGGUAAGUUCCGACCCGCACGAAAGGCGUAAUGAUUUGGAUACUGUCUCGGAGAGGGGCUCGGUGAAAUAGACUUGUCUGUGUAGAUGCGGACUACCUGCACCUGGACAGAAAGACCCUAUGAAGCUUUACUGUAACUUGAAAUUGAAAUUGGACUUUAUUUGCGCAGUAUAGGUGGGAGGCGUUGAAAAUAUUCUUGCGGGAAUAUUGGAGCCAUCAGUGAGAUACCACUCUUGUAAUGUUAGAUUUCUAACUUUAUAUCAUUAUCUGGUUGAAGAACAGUUUCAGGCGGGCAGUUUGACUGGGGCGGUCGCCUCCCAAAUGGUAACGGAGGCGCACAAAGGUUUCCUCUGAACGGGUAGAAAUCGUAUCUAGAGUGUAAAGGCAUAAGGAAGCUUGACUGUGAGACCUACAAGUCGAGCAGGGACGAAAGUCGGUCUUAGUGAUCUGACGGUGCUGAGUGGAAAGGCCGUCACUCAACGGAUAAAAGUUACUCUAGGAUAACAGGCUGAUCUCCCCCAAGAGUUCACAUCGACGGGGAGGUUUGGCACCUCGAUGUCGGCUCAUCGCAUCCUGGGGCGGUAGUACGUCCCAAGGGUUGGGCUGUUCGCCCAUGAAAGCGGUACGCGAGCUGGGUUCAGAACGUCGUGAGACAGUUCGGUCCAUAUCCGGUGUAGGCGUUAGAAUAUUGAGAGGAGCCUUCUUUAGUACGAGAGGACCGAGAAGGACAUACCUCUGGUGUACCAGUUAUCGUGCCAACGGUAAACGCUGGGUAGCUAUGUAUGGAGUGGAUAACCGCUGAAAGCAUCUAAGUGGGAAGCCCACCUCAAGAUAAG
Molecule: ribosomal RNA, 1234 nt
Filed under: metagenome
Description: bacterial LSU rRNA
Rfam family: Bacterial large subunit ribosomal RNA
Source: RNAcentral